RNAcentral lists this unclassified non-coding RNA (401 nucleotides) under soil metagenome. Its description in RNAcentral is "partial contains 5.8S ribosomal RNA, internal transcribed spacer 2, and large subunit ribosomal RNA". The stretch from base 1 to 121 matches the Rfam family "5.8S ribosomal RNA", at positions 35 to 154 of the family's 154-position model. The record is from RNAcentral.
GAUGAAGAACGUAGCGAAAUGCGAUAAGUAAUGUGAAUUGCAGAAUUCAGUGAAUCAUCGAAUCUUUGAACGCACCUUGCGCCCUUUGGCCAUUCCGAAGGGCAUGCCUGUUUGAGUAUCAUGAACACCUCAACUCUCAUGGCUUGCCAUGAUGAGCUUGGACUUUGGGGGUCUUGCUGGCCUGUGGUCGGCUCCUCUCAAAUGAAUCAGCUUGCCAGUGUUUGGUGGCAUCACAAGUGUGAUAACUAUCUGCGCUCAUGGUUUCCAUCAGAUAACCUCCAGUGAUGGAGGUUCGCUGGAGCUCAUAAAUGUCUCUCCUAAGCGAGGACAGCUCUUUUAAUGUUUGAUCUCAAAUCAGGUAGGACUACCCGCUGAACUUAAGCAUAUCAAUAAGCGGAGGA